GAUGAACGCUGGCGGCGUGCCUAAUACAUGCAAGUCGAGCGAACAGAUGAGGAGCUUGCUCCUCUGACGUUAGCGGCGGACGGGUGAGUAACACGUGGAUAACCUACCUAUAAGACUGGGAUAACUUCGGGAAACCGGAGCUAAUACCGGAUAAUAUAUUGAACCGCAUGGUUCAAUAGUGAAAGACGGUUUUGCUGUCACUUAUAGAUGGAUCCGCGCCGCAUUAGCUAGUUGGUAAGGUAACGGCUUACCAAGGCAACGAUGCGUAGCCGACCUGAGAGGGUGAUCGGCCAGACUGGAACUGAGACACGGUCCAGACUCCUACGGGAGGCAGCAGUAGGGAAUCUUACGCGAUGGGCGAAAGCCUGACGGAGCAACGCCGCGGGAGUGAUGAAGGUCUUCGGAUCGUAAAACUCUGUUAUUAGGGAAGAACAAAUGUGUAAGUAACUAUGCAGGUCUUGACGGUACCUAAUCAGAAAGCCACGGCUAACUACGUG
Molecule: ribosomal RNA, 497 nt
Filed under: uncultured bacterium
Lineage: Bacteria
Description: partial 16S ribosomal RNA
Rfam family: Bacterial small subunit ribosomal RNA
Source: RNAcentral